CAGGAAAUGAUGCAAUGUCACAUGAUUUUGUUCUCUCUUGCAACCUCAUGGCAAGGUGAAGCAACAAUUUUUAGAAAUGUGCUUGAUGUGGUUUACUUUAUAAGAAUGCUGUCGAAUAUGCUCCAUUUUAUGCACUCCAAUUAAAUACCAACGGAGAAUUUGGAGACCAGAUCUAGCUAACGGCAUUUUUGACUGUUUCUAUGUGUGUGAUGGACUGAGUAGACCAGACAGAAGAAAGGUCAGAGGAGGCUUCAAUUUUACCAUGAUUCAUUCCUAAAUCUUGCCGGCAAUGUUACUGCUUGCUAAUGCAAAGGAACUUACAGUAAACUGAAUGUUGAAGAUGGGCGUUCUUGAAUUUUGGAAGAAAUAAUGUAUAAAGCAUUCUCUCAACUCUCAUCUUUCCCAGGCUUCUAAAACAGGAACAAAAACUAAAUUACACAAUUAAUCUUUGACAUAAUUUGCCUGUUUCUAUAACAUUCAUCAUAGAAUGAACCAUUUCUGCUACUGAAUCCUUAAAA
Long non-coding RNA from Rhincodon typus (whale shark), 518 nucleotides. RefSeq lists it as uncharacterized. Lineage: Eukaryota; Metazoa; Chordata; Chondrichthyes; Orectolobiformes; Rhincodontidae. The record is from RefSeq and is a predicted model, not a curated record. The transcript is spliced from 3 exons.